This 330-nucleotide ribosomal RNA is filed under the name Triticum aestivum (bread wheat). Its description in RNAcentral is "partial small subunit ribosomal RNA". The record is from RNAcentral. Lineage: Eukaryota; Viridiplantae; Streptophyta; Magnoliopsida; Poales; Poaceae.
AUGUUGCAGACAAUGUUCACGAGAAGCCUCACGUGCCAGCCGGUUGCACAGUCAACCAAAAUCAUCAGGUGCCAUUUGCUCUAUCUAUUUGAACAACAUGCAUUACUUAUAAGAGUAGAUCAAAAGCUACUGCCAUUUCUUCAUCACAUGAAUACAAAGAAAAGGAAAGAGACAAAAGAAAAGAGGAGAAAACUUGCUACGUGCAUGGAUUAUGCGGCCAGAGUGCUAAUCACAUGCAUAUAUUAUUCACUUUCCAUGCACUUCCAGUACCUCACACACGGUUCAAUCUACAAAUUGAUAUUAUGCUGCAUUGCGUGGUUUCCUAGAUAA